Molecule: ribosomal RNA, 490 nt
Filed under: uncultured bacterium
Lineage: Bacteria
Description: partial 16S ribosomal RNA
Rfam family: Bacterial small subunit ribosomal RNA
Source: RNAcentral
AUUGAACGCUGGCGGCAGGCCUAACACAUGCAAGUCGAACGGUAACAGAAAGCAGCUUGCUGCUUUGCUGACGAGUGGCGGACGGGUGAGUAAUGUCUGGGAAACUGCCUGAUGGAGGGGGAUAACUACUGGAAACGGUAGCUAAUACCGCAUAACGUCGCAAGACCAAAGAGGGGGACCUUCGGGCCUCUUGCCAUCGGAUGUGCCCAGAUGGGAUUGGCUUGUUGGUGGGGUAACGGCUCACCAAGGCGACGAUCCCUAGCUGGUCUGAGAGGAUGACCAGCCACACUGGAACUGAGACACGGUCCAGACUCCUACGGGAGGCAGCAGUGGGGAAUAUUGCACAAUGGGCGCAAGCCUGAUGCAGCCAUGCCGCGUGUAUGAAGAAGGCCUUCGGGUUGUAAAGUACUUUCAGCGGGGAGGAAGGGAGUAAAGUUAAUACCUUUGCUCAUUGACGUUACCCGCAGAAGAAGCACCGGCUAACUCCGUG